AAGACCUUGCGCUUUUGGAGCGGCCGAUGCCUGAUUAGCUUGUUGGUAAGGUAAAAGCUUACCAAGGCUUCGAUCAGUAGCUGGUCUGAGAGGACGGCCAGCCACACUGGGACUGAGACACGGCCCAGACUCCUACGGGAGGCAGCAGUGGGGAAUUUUGGGCAAUGGGGGCAACCCUGAUCCAGCCAUGCCGCGUGAGUGAAGAAGGCCUUCGGGUUGUAAAGCUCUUUCAGCCGGAACGAAACGGUUACGGUUAAUACCCGUGACUACUGACGGUACCGGAAGAAGAAGCACCGGCUAACUACGUGCCAGCAGCCGCGGUAAUACGUAGGGUGCGAGCGUUAAUCGGAAUUACUGGGCGUAAAGCGUGCGCAGGUGGUUUUGUAAGUCAGAUGUGAAAGCCCCGGGCUCAACCUGGGAACU
Molecule: ribosomal RNA, 423 nt
Filed under: uncultured bacterium
Lineage: Bacteria
Description: bacterial SSU rRNA
Rfam family: Bacterial small subunit ribosomal RNA
Source: RNAcentral